Molecule: long non-coding RNA, 544 nt
Filed under: Bos taurus (domestic cattle)
Lineage: Eukaryota; Metazoa; Chordata; Mammalia; Artiodactyla; Bovidae
Description: long non-coding RNA NONBTAT019044
Source: RNAcentral
CUUGAGGUUCACUUAGUAUAUUUUUUCUCUCCGAACUUGUUAUCCUCAGACUUUCAAGUAAAAUGUCUGGAGCUCAGUUAAGUACAAUGCUGCGAUUAUUUUUCUUGACCUCCACAGACCAAAGAAAACACCUCCAAUUGUUUUUCAAGCUUUGAGGUACUCUUUUCAUUUUACAUUUGUUAUUCAUGGCUUGAUAGAAGUCUCAUAAUCAUUGGGCUUACGGCUCUUGUUCAGGCUAACUGAAAAUAUUCAACUUCAUACUUUCUUGAAUUAGAUACUAAUAAGGAAAAGGAGGAGGAGGGAAUUCCUACAAACUUCAUCUCUGUCCUGAGGGAAUCAGAGUUUUUGAGCAAAGACCAUUCAGAUCCUUGACUUAGGGAUGUAUUUGUUUUAAAAACAAGUAAAGUGAUUGUUAAACCUCAACAUUAUUACUUAUUUAUCCUAGGCUAAGUGCAGAAUUAUUAAAGUGCUGUCUACCUCUUUUUUUUUAUAAUGUUUUCUUUUUCCUAAAUCUUUUCUGAGGACAGAAUCUUUCCUGCUAUCC